UCGGGGGUGGUGCAACGGUAGCACGCCGGACUCUGACUCCUGAGAUCAAGGUUCGAAUCCUUGCCCCCGAGCCA
RNAcentral lists this transfer RNA (74 nucleotides) under Gammaproteobacteria bacterium. Its description in RNAcentral is "tRNA-Gln". It matches the Rfam family "tRNA". From Rfam's summary of the family: Transfer RNA (tRNA) molecules are approximately 80 nucleotides in length. Their secondary structure includes four short double-helical elements and three loops (D, anti-codon, and T loops). The record is from RNAcentral. Lineage: Bacteria; Pseudomonadati; Pseudomonadota; Gammaproteobacteria.